RNAcentral lists this long non-coding RNA (270 nucleotides) under Sorghum bicolor (sorghum). Its description in RNAcentral is "long non-coding RNA (SBIC_LNC006309)". The record is from RNAcentral. Lineage: Eukaryota; Viridiplantae; Streptophyta; Magnoliopsida; Poales; Poaceae.
GGGAAGUGUAGCUUCGUGUCAUCGUGAAUGGUUAGUACUUUCAUGGAUGCGCAACUGCUUUUCAACUGGCCUAGGCGGCUAAUGUUGACCUCAGCUGUGAUGUACCUUGCACUUUCAUCAUUUGACUAAGUGCUUCUUGUACUUGCCUUUUAAUCUCCGCCUGCAUCUAUUCUUCACGAGAUUUCUCACGCUCUUGUGACUGCAUAACAAAAAUUUCUAGCUGGCGGAUCCGCUCUGCCUCCUCGUCCUUCUUUCUCUAGCGGCUUCUGU